CUAUAGCACAAGUUUUCAUGGUCGAGCGACCAUUUUUAUGUCCGUGUUCCUCCACACGUGUUUUUGUCCCCGGAGCACCUUAAAGCGGUUCUUGGCCUCCCGCGAGCUAUAUCACACAUUUCCGUGGCCAAACAGCCAGUUUUAUGUAUCCGACCUGCCACCUUCGUUUUAGACCGGGGAGGCCGUUAUGGCAUUUUUUUGCCACCCGUGAGCUAUAGCACACGAUUUUAUGGAAACCUAGACCCUAAUCCUAUCCCUAAACCCUAACUAAACAUCGACACUAAAGGAUUUUAGUGUUGAAAGCAUGGUAAAAUGAAAUUUGAGUCUCCCAACCUUAUCAACUUUGCUGACAUAGUAGAAUUUUAGUGUCCAAACCAUAGUACACGUUUUGGUCCCGGAGGCCGGUAAGGCUAUUUUUGGCCUCCCGUGACACAUGUUUUCAUCGUCAAACGAGAUUUCAUGCCUCCCGUCCCCACCCAUGAUUUGGCCACUGAGACUGCUAAGGCUGUUUAUGGCCUCCCGUAGGCUAUGGCACACGUUUUCAUGGUCGAGCGACCAUUUUUAAGUACGUGUUCCACCACCCGCUUUUGGUCCCAGAGCACCUUAAAAUGUCCUUGGCCUCCCACGAGCUGUAGCACACGUUUCCGUGGCCAAAGAGCCAAUUUCAUGUAUCCGACCUGCCACCUACGUUUUAGACCGGAGAGGCCGUUACACAUUUUUUGCCACAAGUGAGCUAUAGCACAGUUUUUAUGGUAACCUAGACCCCAAAUCCAAUCCCUAAACCCUAACCUUAAACACCGACACUAAAAGGUUUUAGUGUCCAAACCAUAGUAAAAUGAAGUUUGAGUCUCCAAACCAUAGUAAGCUUGCAGGCAUGGUAGAAUUUUAGUGUCCAAACCAUAGUACACGUUUUAGUCCCCGGCAGCCCGUAAGGCUAUUUUGGCCUCCCGUGACACAUGUUUUUGUCGUCGAACAUCGAUUUCGUGCCUCCCGACCGCCACCAUAUUUGACCAUAGAGACUGGUAAGGUUGUUUUGGCCUCCUGUGAGCUAUAGCACACGUUUUUAUGGCCGAGCGACCAUUUUUAUGUCCGUGUUCCUCCACACGUGUUUUUGUCCCCGGAGCACCUUAAAGCGGUUCUUGGCCUCCAGCGAGCUAUAUCACACAUUUCCGUGGCCAAACAGCCAGUUUUAUGUAUCCGACCUGCCACCUUCGUUUUAGACCGGGGAGGCCGUUAUGGCAAUUUUUUUGCCACCCGUGAGCUAUAGCACACGAUUUUAUGGAAACCUAGACCCUAAACCCUAUCCCUAAACCCUAAACCUAAACAUCGACACUAAAGGAUUUUAGUGUUGAAAGCAUGGUAAAAUGAAAUUUGAGUCUCCCAACCUUAUCAACUUUGCUGACAUAGUAGAAUUUUAGUGUCCAAACCAUAGUACACGUUUUGGUCCCCGGAGGCCGGUAAGGCUAUUUUUGGCCUCCCGUGACACAUGUUUUCAUCGUCAAACGACGAUUUCAUGCCUCCCGUCCGCCACCCAUGAUUUGGCCACUGAGACUGCUAAGGCUGUUUAUGGCCUCCCGUAGGCUAUGGCACACGUUUUCAUGGUCGAGCGACCAUUUUUAAGUACGUGUUCCACCACUCGCUUUUUGGUCCCAAGAGCACCUUAAAGUGGUCCUUGGCCUCCCACGAGCUGUAGCACACGUUUCCGUGGCCAAAGAGCCAAUUUCAUGUAUCCGACCUGCCACCUACGUUUUAGACCGGAGAGGCCGUUACGACAUUUUUUGCCACAAGUGAGCUAUAGCACACGUUUUUAUGGUAACCUAGACCCCAAAUCCAAUCCCUAAACCCUAACCUUAAACACCGACACUAAAAGGUUUUAGUGUCCAAACCAUAGUAAAAUGAAGUUUGAGUCUCCAAACCAUAGUAAGCUUGCAGGCAUGGUAGAAUUUUAGUGUCCAAACCAUAGUACACGUUUUAGUCCCCGGCAGCCCGUAAGGCUAUUUUGGCCUCCCGUGACACAUGUUUUUGUCGUCGAACAUCGAUUUCGUGCCUCCCGACCGCCACCCAUGAUUUGACCAUAGAGACUGGUAAGGUUGUUUUGGCCUCCCGUGAGCUAUAGCACACGUUUUCAUGGCCGAGCGACCAUUUUUAUGUCCGUGUUCCUCCACACGUGUUUUUGUCCCGGAGCACCUUAAAGCGGUUCUUGGCCUCCGCGAGCUAUAUCACACAUUUCCGUGGCCAAACAGCCAGUUUUAUGUAUCCGACCUGCCACCUUCGUUUUAGACCGGGGAGGCCGUUAUGGCAAUUUUUUUGCCACCCGUGAGCUAUAGCACACGAUUUUAUGGAAACCUAGACCCUAAUCCUAUCCCUAAACCUAAACCUAAACAUCGACACUAAAGGAUUUUAGUGUUGAAAGCAUGGUAAAAUGAAAUUUGAGUCUCCCAACCUUAUCAACUUUGCUGACAUAGUAGAAUUUUAGUGUCCAAACCAUAGUACACGUUUUGGUCCCCGGAGGCCGGUAAGGCUAUUUUUGGCCUCCCGUGACACAUGUUUUCAUCGUCAAACGACGAUUUCAUGCCUCCCGUCCGCCACCCAUGAUUUGGCCACUGAGACUGCUAAGGCUGUUUAUGGCCUCCGUAGGCUAUGGCACACGUUUUCAUGGUCGAGCGACCAUUUUUAAGUACGUGUUCCACCACCCGCGUUUUGGUCCCAGAGCACCUUAAAAUUGUCCUUGGCCUCCCACGAGCUGUAGCACACGUUUCCGUGGCCAAAGAGCCAAUUUCAUGUAUCCGACCUGCCACUACGUUUUAGACGGAGGCCGUUACGACAUUUUUUGCCACAAGUGAGCUAUAGCACACGUUUUUAUGGAACCUAGACCCCAAAUCCAAUCCCUAAACCCUAACCUUAAACACCGACACUAAAAGGUUUUAGUGUCCAAACCAUAGUAAAAUGAAGUUUGAGUCUCCAAACCAUAGUAAGCUUGCAGGCAUGGUAGAAUUUUAGUGUCCAAACCAUAGUACACGUUUUAGUCCCCGGCAGCCCGUAAGGCUAUUUUGGCCUCCCGUGACACAUGUUUUUGUCGUCGAACAGCGAUUUCGUGCCUCCCGACCGCCACCCAUGAUUUGACCAUAGAGACUGGUAAGGUUGUUUUGGCCUCCCGUGAGCUAUAGCACACGUUUUCAUGGCCGAGCGACCAUUUUUAUGUCCGUGUUCCUCCACACGUGUUUUUGUCCCCGGAGCACCUUAAAGCGGUUCUUGGCCUCCCGCGAGCUAUAUCACACAUUUCCGUGGCCAAACAGCCAGUUUUAUGUAUCCGACCUGCCACCUUCGUUUUAGACCGGGGAGGCCGUUAUGGCAAUUUUUUUGCCACCCGUGAGCUAUAGCACACGAUUUUAUGGAAACCUAGACCCUAAUCCUAUCCCUAAACCUAAACAUCGACACUAAAGGAUUUUAGUGUUGAAAGCAUGGUAAAAUGAAAUUUGAGUCUCCCAACCUUAUCAACUUUGCUGACAUAGUAGAAUUUUAGUGUCCAAACCAUAGUACACGUUUUGGUCCCCGGAGGCCGGUAAGGCUAUUUUUGGCCUCCCGUGACACAUGUUUUCAUCGUCAAACGACGAUUUCAUGCCUCCCGUCCGCCACCCAUGAUUUGGCCACUGAGACAGCUAAGGCUGUUUAUGGCCUCCCGUAGGCUAUGGCACACGUUUUCAUGGUCGAGCGACCAUUUUUAAGUACGUGUUCCACCACCCGCGUUUUGGUCCCCAGAGCACCUUAAAAUUGUCCUUGGCCUCCCACGAGCUGUAGCACACGUUUCCGUGGCCAAAGAGCCAAUUUCAUGUAUCCGACCUGCCACCUACGUUUUAGACCGGAGAGGCCGUUACGACAUUUUUUGCCACAAGUGAGCUAUAGCACACGUUUUUAUGGCAACCUAGACCCCAAAUCCAAUCCCUAAACCCUAACCUUAAACACCGACACUAAAAGGUUUUAGUGUCCAAACCAUAGUAAAAUGAAGUUUGAGUCUCCAAACCAUAGUAAGCUUGCAGGCAUGGUAGAAUUUUAGUGUCCAAACCAUAGUACACGUUUUAGUCCCCGGCAGCCCGUAAGGCUAUUUUGGCCUCCCGUGACACAUGUUUUUGUCGUCGAACAGCGAUUUCGUGCCUCCCGACCGCCACCCAUGAUUUGACCAUAGAGACUGGUAAGGUUGUUUUGGCCUCCCGUGAGCUAUAGCACACGUUUUCAUGGCCGAGCGACCAUUUUUAUGUCCGUGUUCCUCCACACGUGUUUUUGUCCCCGGAGCACCUUAAAGCGGUUCUUGGCCUCCCGCGAGCUAUAUCACACAUUUCCGUGGCCAAACAGCCAGUUUUAUGUAUCCGACCUGCCACCUUCGUUUUAGACCGGGGAGGCCGUUAUGGCAAUUUUUUUGCCACCCGUGAGCUAUAGCACACGAUUUUAUGGAAACCUAGACCCUAAUCCUAUCCCUAAACCUAAACCUAACAUCGACACUAAAGGAUUUUAGUGUUGAAAGCAUGGUAAAAUGAAAUUUGAGUCUCCCAACCUUAUCAACUUUGCUGACAUAGUAGAAUUUUAGUGUCCAAACCAUAGUACACGUUUUGGUCCCCGGAGGCCGGUAAGGCUAUUUUUGGCCUCCCGUGACACAUGUUUUCAUCGUCAAACGACGAUUUCAUGCCUCCCGUCCGCCACCCAUGAUUUGGCCACUGAGACUGCUAAGGCUGUUUAUGGCCUCCGUAGGCUAUGGCACACGUUUUCAUGGUCGAGCGACCAUUUUUAAGUACGUGUUCCACCACCCGCGUUUUGGUCCCAGAGCACCUUAAAUUGUCCUUGGCCUCCCACGAGCUGUAGCACACGUUUCCGUGGCCAAAGAGCCAAUUUCAUGUAUCCGACCUGCCACCUACGUUUUAGACCGGAGAGGCCGUUACGACAUUUUUUGCCACAAGUGAGCUAUAGCACACGUUUUUAUGGUAACCUAGACCCCAAAUCCAAUCCCUAAACCCUAACCUUAAACACCGACACUAAAAGGUUUUAGUGUCCAAACCAUAGUAAAAUGAAGUUUGAGUCUCCAAACCAUAGUAAGCUUGCAGGCAUGGUAGAAUUUUAGUGUCCAAACCAUAGUACACGUUUUAGUCCCCGGCAGCCCGUAAGGCUAUUUUGGCCUCCCGUGACACAUGUUUUUGUCGUCGAACAACGAUUUCGUGCCUCCCGACCGCCACCCAUGAUUUGACCAUAGAGACUGGUAAGGUUGUUUUGGCCUCCCGUGAGCUAUAACACACGUUUUCAUGGCCGAGCGACCAUUUUUAUGUCCGUGUUCCUCCACACGUGUUUUUGUCCCCGGAGCACCUUAAAGCGGUUCUUGGCCUCCCGCGAGCUAUAUCACACAUUUCCGUGGCCAAACAGCCAGUUUUAUGUAUCCGACCUGCCACCUUCGUUUUAGACCGGGGAGGCCGUUAUGGCAUUUUUUUGCCACCCGUGAGCUAUAGCACACGAUUUUAUGGAAACCUAGACCCUAAUCCCUAUCCCUAAACCCUAAACCUAAACAUCGACACUAAAGGAUUUUAGUGUUGAAAGCAUGGUAAAAUGAAAUUUGAGUCUCCCAACCUUAUCAACUUUGCUGACAUAGUAGAAUUUUAGUGUCCAAACCAUAGUACACGUUUUGGUCCCCGGAGGCCGGUAAGGCUAUUUUUGGCCUCCCGUGACACAUGUUUUCAUCGUCAAACGACGAUUUCAUGCCUCCCGUCCGCCACCCAUGAUUUGGCCACUGAGACUGCUAAGGCUGUUUAUGGCCUCCGUAGGCUAUGGCACACGUUUUCAUGGUCGAGCGACCAUUUUUAAGUACGUGUUCCACCACCGCGUUUUGGUCCCAGAGCACCUUAAAUUGUCCUUGGCCUCCCACGAGCUGUAGCACACGUUUCCGUGGCCAAAGAGCCAAUUUCAUGUAUCCGACCUGCCACCUACGUUUUAGACCGGAGAGGCCGUUACGACAUUUUUUGCCACAAGUGAGCUAUAGCACACGUUUUUAUGGUAACCUAGACCCCAAAUCCAAUCCCUAAACCCUAACCUUAAACACCGACACUAAAAGGUUUUAGUGUCCAAACCAUAGUAAAAUGAAGUUUGAGUCUCCAAACCAUAGUAAGCUUGCAGGCAUGGUAGAAUUUUAGUGUCCAAACCAUAGUACACGUUUUAGUCCCCGGCAGCCCGUAAGGCUAUUUUGGCCUCCCGUGACACAUGUUUUUGUCGUCGAACAGCGAUUUCGUGCCUCCCGACCGCCACCCAUGAUUUGACCAUAGAGACUGGUAAGGUUGUUUUGGCCUCCCGUGAGCUAUAGCACACGUUUUCAUGGCCGAGCGACCAUUUUUAUGUCCGUGUUCCUCCACACGUGUUUUUGUCCCCGGAGCACCUUAAAGCGGUUCUUGGCCUCCCGCGAGCUAUAUCACACAUUUCCGUGGCCAAACAGCCAUUUUAUGUAUCCGACCUGCCACCUUCGUUUUAGACCGGGGAGGCCGUUAUGGCAAUUUUUUUGCCACCCGUGAGCUAUAGCACACGAUUUUAUGGAAACCUAGACCCUAAUCCUAUCCCUAAACCCUAACUAACAUCGACACUAAAGGAUUUUAGUGUUGAAAGCAUGGUAAAAUGAAAUUUGAGUCUCCCAACCUUAUCAACUUUGCUGACAUAGUAGAAUUUUAGUGUCCAAACCAUAGUACACGUUUUGGUCCCCGGAGGCCGGUAAGGCUAUUUUUGGCCUCCCGUGACACAUGUUUUCAUCGUCAAACGACGAUUUCAUGCCUCCCGUCCGCCACCCAUGAUUUGGCCACUGAGACUGCUAAGGCUGUUUAUGGCCUCCGUAGGCUAUGGCACACGUUUUCAUGGUCGAGCGACCAUUUUAAGUACGUGUUCCACCACCGCGUUUUGGUCCCAGAGCACCUUAAAUUGUCCUUGGCCUCCCACGAGCUGUAGCACACGUUUCCGUGGCCAAAGAGCCAAUUUCAUGUAUCCGACCUGCCACCUACGUUUUAGACCGGAGAGGCCGUUACGACAUUUUUUGCCACAAGUGAGCUAUAGCACACGUUUUUAUGGUAACCUAGACCCCAAAUCCAAUCCCUAAACCCUAACCUUAAACACCGACACUAAAAGGUUUUAGUGUCCAAACCAUAGUAAAAUGAAGUUUGAGUCUCCAAACCAUAGUAAGCUUGCAGGCAUGGUAGAAUUUUAGUGUCCAAACCAUAGUACACGUUUUAGUCCCCGGCAGCCCGUAAGGCUAUUUUGGCCUCCCGUGACACAUGUUUUUGUCGUCGAACAGCGAUUUCGUGCCUCCCGACCGCCACCCAUGAUUUGACCAUAGAGACUGGUAAGGUUGUUUUGGCCUCCCGUGAGCUAUAGCACACGUUUUCAUGGCCGAGCGACCAUUUUUAUGUCCGUGUUCCUCCACACGUGUUUUUGUCCCCGGAGCACCUUAAAGCGGUUCUUGGCCUCCCGCGAGCUAUAUCACACAUUUCCGUGGCCAAACAGCCAGUUUUAUGUAUCCGACCUGCCACCUUCGUUUUAGACCGGGGAGGCCGUUAUGGCAUUUUUUUGCCACCCGUGAGCUAUAGCACACGAUUUUAUGGAAACCUAGACCCUAAAUCCUAUCCCUAAACCUAAACAUCGACACUAAAGGAUUUUAGUGUUGAAAGCAUGGUAAAAUGAAAUUUGAGUCUCCCAACCUUAUCAACUUUGCUGACAUAGUAGAAUUUUAGUGUCCAAACCAUAGUACACGUUUUGGUCCCCGGAGGCCGGUAAGGCUAUUUUUGGCCUCCCGUGACACAUGUUUUCAUCGUCAAACGACGAUUUCAUGCCUCCCGUCCGCCACCCAUGAUUUGGCCACUGAGACUGCUAAGGCUGUUUAUGGCCUCCGUAGGCUAUGGCACACGUUUUCAUGGUCGAGCGACCAUUUUUAAGUACGUGUUCCACCACCCGUUUUUGGUCCCAGAGCACCUUAAAUUGUCCUUGGCCUCCCACGAGCUGUAGCACACGUUUCGUGGCCAAAGAGCCAAUUUCAUGUAUCCGACCUGCCACCUACGUUUUAGACCGGAGAGGCCGUUACGACAUUUUUUGCCACAAGUGAGCUAUAGCACAUGUUUUUAUGGUAACCUAGACCCCAAAUCCAAUCCCUAAACCCUAACCUUAAACACCGACACUAAAAGGUUUUAGUGUCCAAACCAUAGUAAAAUGAAGUUUGAGUCUCCAAACCAUAGUAAGCUUGCAGGCAUGGUAGAAUUUUAGUGUCCAAACCAUAGUACACGUUUUAGUCCCCGGCAGCCCGUAAGGCUAUUUUGGCCUCCCGUGACACAUGUUUUUGUCGUCGAACAGCGAUUUCGUGCCUCCCGACCGCCACCCAUGAUUUGACCAUAGAGACUGGUAAGGUUGUUUUGGCCUCCCGUGAGCUAUAGCACACGUUUUCAUGGCCGAGCGACCAUUUUUAUGUCCGUGUUCCUCCACACGUGUUUUUGUCCCCGGAGCACCUUAAAGCGGUUCUUGGCCUCCCGCGAGCUAUAUCACACAUUUCCGUGGCCAAACAGCCAGUUUUAUGUAUCCGACCUGCCACCUUCGUUUUAGACCGGGGAGGCCGUUAUGGCAUUUUUUUGCCACCCGUGAGCUAUAGCACACGAUUUUAUGGAAACCUAGACCCUAAUCCUAUCCCUAAACCUAACUAACAUCGACACUAAAGGAUUUUAGUGUUGAAACCAUGGUAAAAUGAAAUUUGAGUCUCCCAACCUUAUCAACUUUGCUGACAUAGUAGAAUUUUAGUGUCCAAACCAUAGUACACGUUUUGGUCCCCGGAGGCCGGUAAGGCUAUUUUUGGCCUCCCGUGACACAUGUUUUCAUCGUCAAACGACGAUUUCAUGCCUCCCGUCCGCCACCCAUGAUUUGGCCACUGAGACUGCUAAGGCUGUUUAUGGCCUCCGUAGGCUAUGGCACACGUUUUCAUGGUCGAGCGACCAUUUUUAAGUACGUGUUCCACCACCGCGUUUUGGUCCCAGAGCACCUUAAAUGGUCCUUGGCCUCCCACGAGCUGUAGCACACGUUUCGUGGCCAAAGAGCCAAUUUCAUGUAUCCGACCUGCCACCUACGUUUUAGACCGGAGAGGCCGUUACGACAUUUUUUGCCACAAGUGAGCUAUAGCACAUGUUUUUAUGGUAACCUAGACCCCAAAUCCAAUCCCUAAACCCUAACCUUAAACACCGACACUAAAAGGUUUUAGUGUCCAAACCAUAGUAAAAUGAAGUUUGAGUCUCCAAACCAUAGUAAGCUUGCAGGCAUGGUAGAAUUUUAGUGUCCAAACCAUAGUACACGUUUUAGUCCCCGGCGGCCCGUAAGGCUAUUUUGGCCUCCCGUGACACAUGUUUUUGUCGUCGAACAGCGAUUUCGUGCCUCCCGACCGCCACCCAUAUUUGACCAUAGAGACUGGUAAGGUUGUUUUGGCCUCCCGUGAGCUAUAGCACACGUUUUCAUGGCCGAGCGACCAUUUUUAUGUCCGUGUUCCUCCACACGUGUUUUUUCCCCGGAGCACCUUAAAGCGGUUCUUGGCCUCCCGCGAGCUAUAUCACACAUUUCCGUGGCCAAACAGCCAAUUUUAUGUAUCCGACCUGCCACCUUCGUUUUAGACCGGGGAGGCCGUUAUGGCAUUUUUUUGCCACCCGUGAGCUAUAGCACACGAUUUUAUGGAAACCUAGACCCUAAUCCUAUCCCUAAACCUAAACUAAUCGACACUAAAGGAUUUUAGUGUUGAAACCAUGGUAAAAUGAAAUUUGAGUCUCCCAACCUUAUCAACUUUGCUGACAUAGUAGAAUUUUAGUGUCCAAACCAUAGUACACGUUUUGGUCCCCGGAGGCCGGUAAGGCUAUUUUUGGCCUCCCGUGACACAUGUUUUCAUCGUCAAACGACGAUUUCAUGCCUCCCGUCCGCCACCCAUGAUUUGGCCACUGAGACUGCUAAGGCUGUUUAUGGCCUCUCGUAGGUUAUGGCACACGUUUUCAUGGUCGAGCGACCAUUUUUAAGUACGUGUUCCACCACCCGUUUUUUGGUUCCCAGAGCACCUUAAAGUGGUCCUUGGCCUCCCACGAGCUGUAGCACAGGUUUUCGUGGCCAAAGAGCCAAUUUCAUGUAUCCGACCUGCCACCUACGUUUUAGACCGGAGAGGCCGUUACGACAUUUUUUGCCACAAGUGAGCUAUAGCACAUGUUUUUAUGGUAACCUAGACCCCAAAUCCAAUCCUUAAACCCUAACCUUAAACACCGACACUAAAAGGUUUUAGUGUCCAAACCAUAGUAAAAUGAAGUUUGAGUCUCCAAACCAUAGUAAGCUUGCAGGCAUGGUAGAAUUUUAGUGUCCAAACCAUAGUACACGUUUUAGUCCCCGGCGGACCGUAAGGCUAUUUUGGCCUCCCGUGACACAUGUUUUUGUCGUCGAACAGCGAUUUCGUGCCUCCCGACCGCCACCCAUUAUUUGACCAUAGAGACUGGUAAGGUGUUUUGGCCUCCCGUGAGCUAUAGCACACGUUUUCAUGGCCGAGCGACCAUUUUUAUGUCCGUGUUCCUCCACACGUGUUUUUUCCCCGGAGCACCUUAAAGCGGUUCUUGGCCUCCCGCGAGCUAUAUCACACAUUUCCGUGGCCAAACAGCCAAUUUUAUGUAUCCGACCUGCCACCUUCGUUUUAGACCGGGGAGGCCGUUAUGGCAUUUUUUUGCCACCCGUGAGCUAUAGCACACGAUUUUAUGGAAACCUAGACCCUAAAUCCUAUCCCUAAACCUAAACAUCGACACUAAAGGAUUUUAGUGUUGAAACCAUGGUAAAAUGAAAUUUGAGUCUCCCAACCUUAUCAACUUUGCUGACAUAGUAGAAUUUUAGUGUCCAAACCAUAGUACACGUUUUGGUCCCCGGAGGCCGGUAAGGCUAUUUUUGGCCUCCCGUGACACAUGUUUUCAUCGUCAAACGACGAUUUCAUGCCUCCCGUCCGCCACCCAUGAUUUGGCCACUGAGACUGCUAAGGCUGUUUAUGGCCUCCGUAGGCUAUGGCACACGUUUUCAUGGUCGAGCGACCAUUUUAAGUACGUGUUCCACCACCCUUUUUGGUCCCAGAGCACCUUAAAGUGGUCCUUGGCCUCCACGAGCUGUAGCACACGUUUCGUGGCCAAAGAGCCAAUUUCAUGUAUCCGACCUGCCACCUACGUUUUAGACGGAGAGGCCGUUACGACAUUUUUUGCCACAAGUGAGCUAUAGCACAUGUUUUUAUGGUAACCUAGACCCAAAUCCAAUCCCUAAACCCUAACCUUAAACACCGACACUAAAAGGUUUUAGUGUCCAAACCAUAGUAAAAUGAAGUUUGAGUCUCCAAACCAUAGUAAGCUUGCAGGCAUGGUAGAAUUUUAGUGUCCAAACCAUAGUACACGUUUUAGUCCCCGGCGGCCCGUAAGGCUAUUUUGGCCUCCCGUGACACAUGUUUUUGUCGUCGAACAGCGAUUUCGUGCCUCCCGACCGCCACCCAUUAUUUGACCAUAGAGACUGGUAAGGUUGUUUUGGCCUCCCGUGAGCUAUAGCACACGUUUUCAUGGCCGAGCGACCAUUUUUAUGUCCGUGUUCCUCCACACGUGUUUUUCUCCCCGGAGCACCUUAAAGCGGUUCUUGGCCUCCCGCGAGCUAUAUCACACAUUUCCGUGGCCAAACAGCCAAUUUUAUGUAUCCGACCUGCCACCUUCGUUUUAGACCGGGGAGGCCGUUAUGGCAUUUUUUGCCACCCGUGAGCUAUAGCACACGAUUUUAUGGAAACCUAGACCCUAAAUCCUAUCCCUAAACCUAAACAUCGACACUAAAGGAUUUUAGUGUUGAAACCAUGGUAAAAUGAAAUUUGAGUCUCCCAACCUUAUCAACUUUGCUGACAUAGUAGAAUUUUAGUGUCCAAACCAUAGUACACGUUUUGGUCCCCGGAGGCCGGUAAGGCUAUUUUUGGCCUCCCGUGACACAUGUUUUCAUCGUCAAACGACGAUUUCAUGCCUCCCGUCCGCCACCCAUGAUUUGACCAUGAGACUGGUAAGGCUGUUUUGGCCUCCCGUAGGCUAUAGCACACGUUUUCAUGGCCGAGCGACCAUUUUUAUGUCGUGUUCCUCCACACGUGUUUUUCUCCCCGGAGCACCUUAAAGCGGUUCUUGGCCUCCCACGAGCUAUAUCACACAUUUCCGUGGCCAAACAGCCAAUUUCAUGUAUCCGACCUGCCACCUUCGUUUUAGACCGGGAGGCCGUUACGCAUUUUUUGCCACACGUGAGCUAUAGCACACGAUUUUAUGGUAACCUAGACCCAAAUCCAUCCCUAAACCUAACCUUAAACACGACACUAAAGGUUUUAGUGUGAAACCAUAGUAAAAUGAAAUUUGAGUCUCCCAACCUAUAACUUGCUGACAUGUAGAAUUUUAGUGUCCAAACCAUAGUACACGUUUUGGUCCCCGGAGGCCGUAAGGCUAUUUUUGGCCUCCGUGACACAUGUUUUCAUCGUCAACGACGAUUUCAUGCCUCCCGUCCGCCACCCAUGAUUUGCCAUGAGACUGUAAGGCUGUUUUGGCCUCCCGUGACACAUGUUUUUGUCGUCCACAUUUUUUUUUUUUUUUUUUUUUUUUUUUUUUUUUUUAUUUCGUGCCUCCCGACCGCCACCCAUUAUUUGACCAUAGAGACUGGUAAGGUGUUUUGGCCUCCCGUGAGCUAUAGCACACGUUUUCAUGGCCGAGCGACCAUUUUUAUGUCCGUGUUCCUCCACACGUGUUUUUCUCCCGGAGCACCUUAAAGCGGUUCUUGGCCUCCCGCGAGCUAUAUCACACAUUUCCGUGGCCAAACAGCCAAUUUUAUGUAUCCGACCUGCCACCUUCGUUUUAGACCGGGGAGGCCGUUAUGGCAUUUUUUUGCCACCCGUGAGCUAUAGCACACGAUUUUAUGGAAACCUAGACCCUAAAUCCUAUCCCUAAACCUAAACAUCGACACUAAAGGAUUUUAGUGUUGAAACCAUGGUAAAAUGAAAUUUGAGUCUCCCAACCUUAUCAACUUUGCUGACAUAGUAGAAUUUUAGUGUCCAAACCAUAGUACACGUUUUGGUCCCCGGAGGCCGGUAAGGCUAUUUUUGGCCUCCCGUGACACAUGUUUUCAUCGUCAAACGACGAUUUCAUGCCUCCCGUCCGCCACCCAUGAUUUGUCCCAGAGCACCUUAAAGUGGUCCUUGGCCUCCCACGAGCUGUAGCACACCUACGUUUUAGACCGGAGAGGCCGUUACGACAUUUUUUGCCACAAGUGAGCUAUAGCACAUGUUUUUAUGGUAACCUAGACCCCAAAUCCAAUCCCUAAACCCUAACCUUAAACACCGACACUAAAAGGUUUUAGUGUCCAAACAUAGUAAAAUGAAGUUUGAGUCUCCAAACCAUAGUAAGCUUGCAGGCAUGGUAGAAUUUUAGUGUCCAAACCAUAGUACACAUUUUAGUCCCCGGAGGCCCGUAAGUCUAUUUUGGCCUCCCGUGACACAUGUUUUUGUCAUCGAACAGCGAUUUCGUGCCUCCCGUCCGCCACCCAUCAUUUGACCAUAGAGACUAGUAAGGCUGUUUUGGCCUCCCGCGAGCUAUAUCACACAUUUCCGUGGCCAAACAGCCAAUUUUAUGUAUCCGACCUGCCACCUUCGUUUUAGACCGGGGAGGCCGUUAUGGCAUUUUUUUGCCACCCGUGAGCUAUAGCACACGAUUUUAUGGAAACCUAGACCCUAAAUCCUAUCCCUAAACCUAAACAUCGACACUAAAGGAUUUUAGUGUUGAAACCAUGGUAAAAUGAAAUUUGAGUCUCCCAACCUUAUCAACUUUGCUGACAUAGUAGAAUUUUAGUGUCCAAACCAUAGUACACGUUUUGGUCCCCGGAGGCCGGUAAGGCUAUUUUUGGCCUCCCGUGACACAUGUUUUCAUCGUCAAACGACGAUUUCAUGCCUCCCGUCCGCCACCCAUGAUUUGGCCACUGAGACUGCUAAGGCUGUUUAUGGCCUCCCGUAGGCUAUGGCACACGUUUUCAUGGUCGAGCGACCAUUUUAAGUACGUGUUCCACCACCCGUUUUUGGUCCCAGAGCACCUUAAAGUGGUCCUUGGCCUCCCACGAGCUGUAGCACACGUUUCGUGGCCAAAGAGCCAAUUUCAUGUAUCCGACCUGCCACCUACGUUUAGACGGAGGCCGUUACGACAUUUUUUGCCACAAGUGAGCUAUAGCACAUGUUUUUAUGGUAACCUAGACCCAAAUCCAAUCCCUAAACCCUAACCUUAAACACCGACACUAAAAGGUUUUAGUGUCCAAACAUAGUAAAAUGAAGUUUGAGUCUCCAAACCAUAGUAAGCUUGCAGGCAUGGUAGAAUUUUAGUGUCCAACCAUAGUACACGUUUUAGUCCCCGGGCCGUAAGGCUAUUUUGGCCUCCCGUGACACAUGUUUUUGUCGUCGAACAGCGAUUUCGUGCCUCCCGACCGCCACCCAUAUUUGACCAUAGAGACUGUAAGGUGUUUUGGCCUCCCGUGAGCUAUAGCACACGUUUUCAUGGCCGAGCGACCAUUUUUAUGUCCGCGUUCCUCCACACGUGUUUUUUCCCCGGAGCACCUUAAAGCGGUUCUUGGCCUCCCGCGAGCUAUAUCACACAUUUCCGUGGCCAAACAGCCAAUUUUAUGUAUCCGACCUGCCACCUUCGUUUUAGACCGGGGAGGCCGUUAUGGCAUUUUUUUGCCACCCGUGAGCUAUAGCACACGAUUUUAUGGAAACCUAGACCCUAAAUCCUAUCCCUAAACCUAAACAUCGACACUAAAGGAUUUUAGUGUUGAAACCAUGGUAAAAUGAAAUUUGAGUCUCCCAACCUAUCAACUUUGCUGACAUAGUAGAAUUUUAGUGUCCAAACCAUAGUACACGUUUUGGUCCCGGAGGCCGGUAAGGCUAUUUUUGGCCUCCCGUGACACAUGUUUUCAUCGUCAAACGACGAUUUCAUGCCUCCCGUCCGCCACCCAUGAUUUGGCCACUGAGACUGCUAAGGCUGUUUAUGGCCUCCCGUAAGCCUAUAGGCACACCGUUUUUCCAAUGGUCCGGACGCUGAGCCAUUUUUAAGACUACGUAACGUUACGACAUUUUUUGCCACAGUGAGCUAUAGCACAGUUUUAUGGUACCUACCCAAAUCCAAUCCUAAACCUAACCUUAAACACCGACACUAAAGGUUAGUGUCCCAUAGUAAAUGGUUGGUCUCCAAACCAUAGUAGCUGCAGAUGGUAGAAUUUAGUGUCCAACCAUAGUACAGUUUUAGUCCCGGGCCGUAGGCCUCCCGUGACACAUGUUUUUGUCGUCGAACAGCGAUUUCGUGCCUCCCGUCCGCCACCCAUGAUUUGACCAUAGAGACUGGUAAGGCUGUUUUGGCCUCCCGUGAGCUAUAGCACACGUUUUCAUGGCCGAGCGACCAUUUUUAUGUCCGCGUUCCCCACACGUGUUUUUGUCCCCGGAGCACCUUAAAGCGGUUCUUGGCCUCCCGCGAGCUAUAUCACACAUUUCCGUGGCCAAACAGCCAAUUUUAUGUAUCCGACCUGCCACCUUCGUUUUAGACCGGGGAGGCCGUUAUGGCAUUUUUUUGCCACCCGUGAGCUAUAGCACACGAUUUUAUGGAAACCUAGACCCUAAAUCCUAUCCCUAAACCUAAACUAACAUCGACACUAAAGAUUUUAGUGUUGAAACCAUGGUAAAAUGAAAUUUGAGUCUCCCAACCUUAUCAACUUUGCUGACAUAGUAGAAUUUUAGUGUCCAAACCAUAGUACACGUUUUGGUCCCCGGAGGCCGGUAAGGCUAUUUUUGGCCUCCCGUGACACAUGUUUUCAUCGUCAAACGACGAUUUCAUGCCUCCCGUCCGCCACCCAUGAUUUGGCCACUGAGACUGCUAAGGUCUGUUUAUGGCCUCAUCCGUAAGCUAUAGCCACCUACGAUUUUCAUGAUCGGAGAGGCCGUUACGACAUUUUUUGCCACAAGUGAGCUAUAGCACAUGUUUUAUGGUAACCUAGACCCAAAUCCAAUCCCUAAACCCUAACCUUAACACCGACACUAAAAGGUUUUAGUGUCCAAACAUAGUAAAAUGAAGUUUGAGUCUCCAAACCAUAGUAAGCUUGCAGGCAUGGUAGAAUUUAGUGUCCAACCAUAGUAACGUUUUAGUCCCCGGGGCCGUAAGGCUAUUUUGGCCUCCCGUGACACAUGUUUUUGUCGUCGAACAGCGAUUUCGUGCCUCCCGUCCGCCACCCAUAUUUGACCAUAGAGACUGGUAAGGCUGUUUUGGCCUCCCGUGAGCUAUAGCACACGUUUUCAUGGCCGAGCGACCAUUUUUAUGUCCGCGUUCCUCCACACGUGUUUUUUCCCCGGAGCACCUUAAAGCGGUUCUUGGCCUCCCGCGAGCUAUAUCACACAUUUCCGUGGCCAAACAGCCAAUUUUAUGUAUCCGACCUGCCACCUUCGUUUUAGACCGGGGAGGCCGUUAUGGCAUUUUUUUGCCACCCGUGAGCUAUAGCACACGAUUUUAUGGAAACCUAGACCCUAAAUCCUAUCCCUAAACCUAACUAACAUCGACACUAAAUGAUUUUAGUGUUGAAACCAUGGUAAAAUGAAAUUUGAGUCUCCCAACCAUAUCAACUUUGCUGACAUAGUAGAAUUUUAGUGUCCAAACCAUAGUACACGUUUUGGUCCCUGGAGGCCGGUAAGGCUAUUUUUGGCCUCCCGUGACACAUGUUUUCAUCGUCAAACGACGAUUUCAUGCCUCCCGUCCGCCACCCAUGAUUUGGCCACUGAGACUGCUAAGGCUGUUUAUGGCCUCCCGUAGGCUAUGGCACACGUUUUCAUGGUCGAGCGACCAUUUUUAAGUACGUGUUCCACCACCCGCUUUUUGGUCCCAGAGCACCUUAAAGUGGUCCUUGGCCUCCCACGAGCUGUAGCACACGUUUCCGUGGCCAAAGAGCCAAUUUCAUGUAUCCGACCUGCCACCUACGUUUUAGACCGGAGAGGCCGUUACGACAUUUUUUGCCACAAGUGAGCUAUAGCACAUGUUUUUAUGGUAACCUAGACCCCAAAUCCAAUCCCUAAACCCUAACCUUAAACACCGACACUAAAAGGUUUUAGUGUCCAAACAAUAGUAAAAUGAAGUUUGAGUCUCCAAACCAUAGUAAGCUUGCAGGCAUGGUAGAAUUUUAGUGUCCAAACCAUAGUACACAUUUUAGUCCCCGGAGGCCCGUAAGUCUAUUUUGGCCUCCCGUGACACAUGUUUUUGUCACCGAACAGCGAUUUCGUGCCUCCCGUUCGCCACCCAUCAUUUGACCAUAGAGACUAGUAAGGCUGUUUUGGCCUCCCGUGAGCUAUAGCACACGUUUUCAUGGCCGAGCGACCAUUUUUAUGUCCGCGUUCCGCCACACGUGUUUUUGUCCUCGGAGCACCUUAAAGCGGUUCUUGGCCUCCCACGAGCUAUAUCACACAUUUCCGUGGCCAAACAGCAAAUUUUAUGUAUCCGACCUGCCACCUUCGUUUUAGACCGGGGAGGCCGUUAUGGCAUUUUUUGCCACCCGUGAGCUAUAGCACACGAUUUUAUGGAAACCUAGACCCUAAAUCCUAUCCCUAAACCCUAAACGUUAACAUCGACACUAAAUGAUUUUAGUGUUGAAACCAUGGUAAAAUGAAAUUUGAGUCUCCCAACCAUAUCAACUUUGCUGACAUAGUAGAAUUUUAGUGUCCAAACCAUAGUACACGUUUUGGUCCC
This 17807-nucleotide long non-coding RNA is filed under the name Zea mays. RNAcentral's name for it is "long non-coding RNA (ZMAY_LNC001510)". The record is from RNAcentral. Lineage: Eukaryota; Viridiplantae; Streptophyta; Magnoliopsida; Poales; Poaceae.